RNAcentral lists this long non-coding RNA (1577 nucleotides) under Phasianus colchicus (ring-necked pheasant). Its description in RNAcentral is "lncRNA (ENSPCLG00000011797.1)". The record is from RNAcentral. Lineage: Eukaryota; Metazoa; Chordata; Aves; Galliformes; Phasianidae.
GGCCCUGCGUGUGGCAGGGGGGUUGGAGAUUCAUGAUCCUUGAGGUCCCUUCCAACCCUGGCAAUUCUGAUUCUGUCCGCGGUCUCUGCUGCCACCGCGUGGCAAAUGCGCGGAACUGCAUGCGUGAUGGUGUGCCGGAAACUCCGCAUGCGGAGUUCUAUGAAGGGAAAAGCGCAUGUGUACAAGUGUGCCAAGAAAGGCGCAUGCGUAGUGCUGCGUCCAACCCUGCACAUGCGUAGGGUUGUGUAAAUGCAAACGCAUGCAUAGUGCUGCGUUCCUGUACGCCUGGAGUAGGUGUAGAGGCGUGCCGGGAAGGCGCAUGCGUAGUCAUGCGUCAAGACUACGCAUUUUUUUCGGAAUUUCCGGAGUCGCGCAUGCGCAGUACCGUGACGAGGAUGGAGCACGCGUAGUGCUGUGUCCAAUUAGGAGCACGAGUAGUAUGCCGGAAUUGGCGCACGCGUAGUACUGUGCUGGACAUGCGUAGUGCUGCGCCGGACCUGGCGCACGCGUGGUGUUGUGUCGAAUUUGACACAUGCAUAUGGUUUGCCCAAACUGGCGCACGCGUAGUGUUGGGCUGGAACUGGCGCAUGCGUACUGCUUUGUCGACGACAGUACGUGCUUUGUACUUUGGGUGCGGGCUUUUUGGCUGUUUUGGGGCGGUCUGGGGAUUCAUGCGGCUUACAUCGAGGUUGAUGGGGUUUAAGGAUGUAUGGGAACUGCUGAGUCAUGGCCUGAACCUCUGAUUAGUCACCUGAGGCGAGCAAUGAGUCAGCCCUGGGAGCACAGGUGAAAGCAAUUCACCUGUGCUGCAGGAAGGGGUGGAGCCUGGCUGCACCUUUCCUAGACCCAUUUAAGAGCUGACUACCAUUGGGGAAGGAUCUCUCUCUCUUCGGAAGAUCCACUCCACUGGAGUUUCCUGAGCGAGCCCACGACACGGGUAAGCCUCCUAUUUAUUCUCUUUGUCUCGCUGUGCCUAACUCUCUUGCUUAUUUCAUUAUUAUAACAUCUUAAUAUUAUUUGAUUAUAUAAUAUUCCUUUAUAUAAUUUUCAUUGAUUAUACAAAGGAUUGCCAGGGUUCCUCUAAUCAGCAGUGUGAGAACUGUGGAGCAGAUAAUGAAACAUCACGAGCCCCAUGUUGGUGCAUUGCUUGUAUGCAGGCAUGUUUGUGAUGACUGUGGGGAAACUCACUUAAGGCUCAAGUAGUGUUAAAAGGGGCUUGCUUCACUCCACGGGUUCUGUGCUCCCAUCCCAAUGAGCUCCAUGGCUGCUGAUAGAGUGAGGUGCAUCAGCUGGCACCCGAAGAACACUCCCAAACCCCAGUGGCCAUUUGCUUCAUCCUCGCUCAGUAUAAUACAGUCUGCACUGCUUGAGCAUACUGACCACAUGCGUUCUGUUCAUAUUUUAUGAUUGUCUCUGAUAUUUCCCUUACAGAUUUGUCAGCGAUAAUGGAUUCCAGGGCAUCGUUGUCAGGGCACAUUGUGGCCAACCACCCCAGGGUCCUACAGCUCUUUCUGUUUUAAUGGCAGAUCUGGCUUUGUGAUAAUAAAAAAGAAAGGAUUGUCCUCUUCUGGAUGACU